CACUUGUUCUUUUUUUUUUUUUCUUCUUUCUUUUUUUCUUUUUUCAGAAUUUGUCUGAAAAUGACUGAAGUGUCAGGGAAUUGUGGUUUUAGAUGAGGUCAUUGUUGCGGACAUCUGGAACAGAAUGUCAUCACCGCAUUUAGGCAACACAACAGCUCAAUUUUAUUUCAGUUCUGAUUUCAAGUCCACAACAUCCCAAGAAAAGCAUUGGCUCCAUGAUCUAGUCUGUUUAGGCACAUGAUAAUGUUGAAAGACUGGCAAAACAAAACAAAAACCAGUUAGACUCAUGCUACUUCAGGGAUCUUCAAAGGAGGUGGAAGCAGUAGGGAUGAUAAAAAACAACAACAACAACAAGUACUUGUCAACAGUUACGACAUCUUGUCCAGAGGCACUCCGGCUGGAUUUACACCAACACUGCUACCUUUGGCUUCUGGCUUACCUGGUCUUCACAAAGCUGUGCGGAAGCCCUCCAUCUCACACAUUAUGCCAGCAGUUUCCACAAUUUCCAGCAAUAUUGACAGCGAUUCAGAAGAGAUCCAAGCUUCGCAGCACUGCAGGUGAAUGUGAGUGCUGGCCUGGCCUGACUGCCCUCCUCACAGCUGCCUCCUCACAGCGACUGGCAGUGAGCUGCUCUUCCUCGGGUACAUGCUGGUGGCACCCAGUGGGACUUCGCAGGGGUCUGUAGGGGUCACGCUGCCAGCAGGAAUGGAGGGGAAGGAGAGACAAAAAGCUAGGAGAGACCCUGAAGAGCUGGACAUGCAUCAGCUAAUUCGGGUUGGGGGUUGUGUGGUGGCUGGUGGUGCUUGUGGGAGUGCAUUAACCCCCUCUCAGAAGGAGUAGCAGCCAGCUUUGCUUGCUAACUUUGGCGAAGGAGAAGGAAAGGACAACUUCUAGUUCUGCACUGGCCUCCAGCUGGCUCUGUGGUAAUCAGCCCUCAAGCACUCGACAAUAAAAUGCCAUCUUGCUGUCCCC
Molecule: long non-coding RNA, 972 nt
Organism: Cygnus atratus (black swan)
Lineage: Eukaryota; Metazoa; Chordata; Aves; Anseriformes; Anatidae
Exons: 2
Source: RefSeq, a predicted model, not a curated record